RNAcentral lists this ribosomal RNA (219 nucleotides) under uncultured soil bacterium. Its description in RNAcentral is "partial 16S ribosomal RNA". It matches the Rfam family "Bacterial small subunit ribosomal RNA", at positions 26 to 274 of the family's 1533-position model. The record is from RNAcentral.
AGAACGAACGCUGGCGGCAUGCCUAAUACAUGCAAGUCGAACGAACACUUCGGUGUUAGUGGCGCACGGGUGCGUAACGCGUGGGAAUCUGCCCUUGGGUUCGGAAUAACAGUUGGAAACGACUGCUAAUACCGGAUGAUGACGAAAGUCCAAAGAUUUAUCGCCCAGGGAUGAGCCCGCGUAGGAUUAGCUAGUUGGUGAGGUAAAGCUCACCAAGGC